CCUACGGGUGACAGCAGUAGGGAAUUUUCGUCAAUGGGCGCAAGCCUGAACGAGCAAUGCCGCGUGAACGAGGAAGGUCUUCGGAUUGUAAAGUUCUGUUGAAGGGGAAAAAGAGCGGAGAGAGUAACUGUUCACGCAGUGACGGUAUCCAACCAGAAAGUCACGGCUAACUACGUGCCAGCAGCCGCGGUAAGACGUAGGUGGCAAGCGUUAUCCGGAUGUAUUGGGCGUAAAGGGAGCGCAGGCGGUUGCUUAGGUCUGAUGUGAAAGCCUUCGGCUUAACCGAAGAAGUGCAUCGGAAACCGGGCGACUUGAGUGCAGAAGAGGACAGUGGAACUCGAUGUGUAGCGGUGGAAUGCGUAGAUAUAAGGAAGAACACCAGUGGCGAAGGCAGCUGUCUGGUGUGCAACUGACGCUGAGGCUCGAAAGCGUGGGUAGCGAACAGGAUUAGAUACCCGAGUAGUC
This 465-nucleotide ribosomal RNA is filed under the name uncultured bacterium. RNAcentral describes it as "partial 16S ribosomal RNA". It matches the Rfam family "Bacterial small subunit ribosomal RNA", at positions 338 to 795 of the family's 1533-position model. The record is from RNAcentral.